This 85-nucleotide transfer RNA is filed under the name Verrucomicrobiota bacterium. RNAcentral describes it as "Verrucomicrobia bacterium (microbial mat metagenome) tRNA-Ser". It matches the Rfam family "tRNA". From Rfam's summary of the family: Transfer RNA (tRNA) molecules are approximately 80 nucleotides in length. Their secondary structure includes four short double-helical elements and three loops (D, anti-codon, and T loops). Lineage: Bacteria; Pseudomonadati; Verrucomicrobiota. RNAcentral also lists the same sequence under 2 other names. The record is from RNAcentral.
GGAGGGGUGGCAGAGUGGUCUAUCGCGUCGGUCUUGAAAACCGAAGUCGGGAAACUGACCGUGGGUUCGAAUCCCACCCCCUCCG